This is a long non-coding RNA of Strigops habroptila (Kakapo), 1255 nucleotides long. NCBI's taxonomy places the organism in Eukaryota, Metazoa, Chordata, Aves, Psittaciformes, Psittacidae. The record is from Ensembl.
CUUAGGAAUGGAGACAAAUGAUUUUCCCAGGUUUAAUUUUUCUUCACUUCUGAAAAUUAGCAGGUUUUUGUUUGUUUUGUGUUUUUUUUUUUUUUUUUUUUUUUCCUCUGUAAGCUUUCACUGAGAUGAUUGAUUUUUCAAGUAGUGAAGGUUUUGUUUAUUUCGGUGUAAAAUCUCUUGCAGAAGUUACUGUUGGAAUUUGCACACUUCAAAUGUUUUGCAACAAUGUGAUUUAACUGAACUUAGAGAUAACAAAGAAUGAUUAAAGGUAGGUUGUUCCUGUAACCCAGAAUUUUAAUUUACAGAAUAUUCAGAAAUUUUCGGUUUAUUACAGAUAAAUCCUUGUGUUAUAAAUGUGAAUUGAUAAAAGCCAUAUGAUACUAACAUAGCUGUAACUAAACUGUUGUCUGUAGAACAGUUAGUGGUAGAGUAAGGAAGAAAAAAAAUGGUAAUUGUUUAAAAUGCAGUAUUUUAGUAUUCAAGCUAAAAGGUUAAUCUCUGCCAGUUGUUCAUUAAUACACCUUUUUCAAAUAGUGCUGUAGUUCUGAUACUAGAGUAACAGAUGUUACAGAAACAAGGAAUCUGAACUGAGUCCAAUUAUAAUGAUCUGCUCUUGCUGCUGGAAGAGAGAGGGGGCCAAGUCACAGGAUAUGUAGUUCAGCCACAAUUGAUAGCCUUCAGGAAAGAACGAGGGUAUUAGUGUUCCAAGCUAUGGCUUUUGUGAGACAGGAUCAGAGUGUAACACUUGGUGAGCUUACUGGUCAGCUGGUUAGAUCAGGUACAGAACAUCCUGCUUGGUAGUGUGAAUGUUAUCAUGCCAAAAGGACAAGCCUUCGUAAACUUCAGUUAUCACCUGUGGGAUCUCCAUCUCUCUUGCACUCUUCAGCUGCUGUUAAUUACUAUAGCUUAUAUCCAGUGAAGAUCUGUGGUGUGGAGCCUGAAUUCAUGCUGGAUCAGUGAUUAGGACACAGGAAGAGGAAAGCAGGUCUGAGCUCUUAUUUCAGCCACUGACUCACCAUGACUUCAGACAAGUCACUUAAUAGGUACUUGCCUGUGUUUUGUCCUAUUUAGUAAGGUUGAUGUUAAUCAAAACACUGCAAAAUUUGUGGACACAGUGAUUUAUAAAUACUUAUUUUUCAUGCCUGCUGGUAAAACUGUGGUUUUAGAUGUAGACUAUUUUUACUUGUAAGGUUAUUUUUCAUUUAACCUUUUAUGCAGUAAAUAGCUAUACCAAUGAAUUAUAAAACCUUAAAGU